This 368-nucleotide ribosomal RNA is filed under the name uncultured organism. RNAcentral's name for it is "bacterial SSU rRNA". It matches the Rfam family "Bacterial small subunit ribosomal RNA", at positions 526 to 896 of the family's 1533-position model. The record is from RNAcentral.
CGGAGGGUGCAAGCGUUGUCCGGAUUUAUUGGGUUUAAAGGGUGCGUAGGUGGUUUUCUAAGUCUGGUUUGAAAGCUGGUCGCUUAACGAUCAGAUGUGGCUGGAAACUGGAGGACUUGAAUGCGUUGGCGGUAGCCGGAAUGGGUCAUGUAGCGGUGAAAUGCAUAGAUAUGACCCGGAACACCGAUUGCGAAGGCAGGCUACUACGACGUGAUUGACACUGAGGCACGAGAGCAUGGGUAGCGAACAGGAUUAGAUACCCUGGUAGUCCAUGCCGUAAACGAUGAUUACUGGCUGUUUGUGCGAUAGCAUGAGUGGCUGAGCGAAAGCGUUAAGUAAUCCACCCGGGGAGUACGCUGGCAACAGUG